This 450-nucleotide ribosomal RNA is filed under the name uncultured bacterium. RNAcentral describes it as "partial 16S ribosomal RNA". It matches the Rfam family "Bacterial small subunit ribosomal RNA", at positions 354 to 796 of the family's 1533-position model. The record is from RNAcentral.
GUGGGGAAUAUUGGACAAUGGGGGGAACCCUGAUCCAGCCAUGCCGCGUGUGUGAAGAAGGUCUUCGGAUUGUAAAGCACUUUAAGUUGGGAGGAAGGGCAGUAAGUUAAUACCUUGCUGUUUUGACGUUACCAACAGAAUAAGCACCGGCUAACUUCGUGCCAGCAGCCGCGGUAAUACGAAGGGUGCAAGCGUUAAUCGGAAUUACUGGGCGUAAAGCGCGCGUAGGUGGUUCAGCAAGUUGAAGGUGAAAUCCCCGGGCUCAACCUGGGAACUGCCUCCAAAACUACUGAGCUAGAGUACGGUAGAGGGUAGUGGAAUUUCCUGUGUAGCGGUGAAAUGCGUAGAUAUAGGAAGGAACACCAGUGGCGAAGGCGACUACCUGGACUGAUACUGACACUGAGGUGCGAAAGCGUGGGGAGCAAACAGGAUUAGAUACCCGUGUAGUCC